Molecule: ribosomal RNA, 510 nt
Filed under: uncultured bacterium
Lineage: Bacteria
Description: partial 16S ribosomal RNA
Rfam family: Bacterial small subunit ribosomal RNA
Source: RNAcentral
GACGAACGCUGGCGGCGUGCUUAACACAUGCAAGUCGAACGAAGAGCGAUGGAAGCUUGCUUCUAUCAAUCUUAGUGGCGAACGGGUGAGUAACGCGUAAUCAACCUGCCCUUCAGAGGGGGACAACAGUUGGAAACGACUGCUAAUACCGCAUACGAUCUAAUCUCGGCAUCGAGGAUAGAUGAAAGGUGGCCUCUACAUGUAAGCUAUCACUGAAGGAGGGGAUUGCGUCUGAUUAGCUAGUUGGAGGGGUAACGGCCCACCAAGGCGAUGAUCAGUAGCCGGUCUGAGAGGAUGAACGGCCACAUUGGGACUGAGACACGGCCCAGACUCCUACGGGAGGCAGCAGUGGGGAAUCUUCCGCAAUGGACGAAAGUCUGACGGAGCAACGCCGCGUGAGUGAUGACGGCCUUCGGGUUGUAAAGCUCUGUUAAUCGGGACGAAAGGCCUUCUUGCGAAUAGUGAGAAGGAUUGACGGUACCGGAAUAGAAAGCCACGGCUAGCUACGUG